AUGGGUGAGGGCAACUUUAUCUAGUCAAUUGAAAAUUUGUCAUUUUAAGAAUUAGAACAUUUGAGAUGUGGCCAUCUUUCCACAACUUCACAUUGCUCGUCUCGUCUUCUCCAGCUUCGAUUCAUCUCCCAAAAAUUCUCCAUCUGCAGAAAGCUUGAAGCCACAACAACUCAUCCCUGAUCGAAGGAAGGUAUACAAGAGUGGAUAUGUGGCAAUGGCUCUCAUUUUGUGCUUUUGUUAAGGGGAUGAUCAUAUCAUUAUGAUAUACUAUCCAAGCUCAGCUGGCGGAGGUAUGAAAGAAUUAUUUAGGAAGUGACGUUGACCUCACUACUUGCACUUCCUGCAGACCAAUUGCCCGUGGAAGCUUUAGAACGUCUCUUCAGGGCUACCCUUGAUCUCCUAGUUGCACAAAAACAUUAAGUUGCCAGUCUUUUGUGUCACCUCUGUCUCAUGCUAUAUGUUAUUUUAACAAUUACUCAUUAUUUUUGUCUGUCAUGGACUUAUUCUGCAAAGGAAGAAGAGGCUGAAGAUGAUGAUGAUAUGAAUGGUUUCCAAACUGAUAUUGAAGAUGAUGAUGGUGAUGGGUCAGACAAAGAAAUGGGCGUUGAUGCUGAGGAUGGAGAUUAAACUGACAGCAUUAAACUUAAAAAAUUAGCUGUACAGGUGUGUACAUUAUUGUAUAGUUUUGAAUGUGUUUUCUGGUCAAACACAUUCUGGUAAACCUAAGACAUAUAUUAUCAUAUGGAGAAAUCUAUGAGCUUGCCUUUA
Mangifera indica (mango) is the source of this 768-nucleotide long non-coding RNA. RefSeq lists it as uncharacterized. The record is from RefSeq and is a predicted model, not a curated record. NCBI's taxonomy places the organism in Eukaryota, Viridiplantae, Streptophyta, Magnoliopsida, Sapindales, Anacardiaceae. The transcript has 4 exons.